AAAUCUUAAAUAAUUAAACUGCAAAUUUAAUAUAGAAUUUUAAUUCUAAGAUUU
This 54-nucleotide transfer RNA is filed under the name Haemaphysalis punctata. RNAcentral's name for it is "tRNA-Cys". Lineage: Eukaryota; Metazoa; Arthropoda; Arachnida; Ixodida; Ixodidae. The record is from RNAcentral.